AACAGAGGACCAAGAAGGCUGAGCCUGAUGAAGCAAGACUUUGCUGACCCACUCCUAGGAAAAAAGGGUUGGAGAGACAAGCCCUAUUGGGGGUCGGGGAGAGAGGAGAAAUCACAGGGCUGACUGUAUCACCCAACAUUU
Molecule: small nucleolar RNA, 141 nt
Filed under: Peromyscus maniculatus bairdii (prairie deer mouse)
Lineage: Eukaryota; Metazoa; Chordata; Mammalia; Rodentia; Cricetidae
Description: Small Cajal body specific RNA 4 (ENSPEMG00000006435.2)
Rfam family: Small Cajal body specific RNA 4
About the family: scaRNAs are a specific class of small nuclear RNAs which localise to the Cajal bodies and guide the modification of RNA polymerase II transcribed spliceosomal RNAs U1, U2, U4, U5 and U12. ACA26 belongs to the H/ACA box class of guide RNAs as it has the predicted hairpin-hinge-hairpin-tail structure, conserved H/ACA-box motifs and is found associated with GAR1.
Source: Rfam by way of RNAcentral